RNAcentral lists this ribosomal RNA (426 nucleotides) under uncultured bacterium. RNAcentral's name for it is "bacterial SSU rRNA". It matches the Rfam family "Bacterial small subunit ribosomal RNA", at positions 355 to 796 of the family's 1533-position model. The record is from RNAcentral.
CAAGGAAUUUUCGUCAAUGGGGGAAACCCUGAACGAGCAACGCCGCGUGGGCGAAGAAGUCUUUCGGGAUGUAAAGCCCUUUUCCCUGUGAAGAAAGAAAGACGGUAACAGGGGAAUAAGCAUCGGCUAACUACGUGCCAGCAGCCGCGGUAAUACGUAGGAUGCAAGCGUUGUCCGGAAUUAUUGGGCGUAAAGAGCGCGCAGGCGGUUAAUCAAGUCAGAUGUGAAAUAUCCGGGCUUAACCCGGAGGGGUCAUUUGAAACUGGGAGACUAGAGUACAGCAGAGGAUAGCGGAAUUCCCGGUGUAGUGGUGAAAUGCGUAGAUAUCGGGAGGAACACCAGUGGCGAAGGCGGCUAUCUGGGCUGAAACUGACGCUGAGGCGCGAAGGCUAGGGGAGCAAACAGGAUUAGAUACCCGGGUAGUCC